This is a long non-coding RNA of Hevea brasiliensis (rubber tree), 530 nucleotides long. RefSeq lists it as uncharacterized. The transcript has 3 exons. NCBI's taxonomy places the organism in Eukaryota, Viridiplantae, Streptophyta, Magnoliopsida, Malpighiales, Euphorbiaceae. The record is from RefSeq and is a predicted model, not a curated record.
CAGACAUACUGUAAGUGGUUCCUAAACACUAUUUGCAAAUGAGGAAGGUGAGCCUUCGGCACCUUAGUCACAGUGAUCAGUCCAGGCUGACACACUUGUGGGUGGCCAAAAGGCUACACCUACAAAUGGCCAAGAGCCUUUACUUGAUAGCUCAUAGAGUCUCACGCUAAACUUGAAUCAGAGAUUGAUUCUGCAAGGCGACUGCGCCUUAGAGUUCGGGAAGGAAACAAGUUUUUUGUUGGAUCCACCACAACUUGAGUGAUUAUGAAUACCUUUAAGCAACUGAUAUACCCUGUGGGUAUUACAUGGAAGACUAUCCCAUAGGAUACCAAGGAUGUUUACUAGGAAGAAUUCAAGAAAAAAUAUUGGUAGACUACUACUGAGGAACUAAGGGUAAAGGCUUGCUGGCAAUCAAAGGCUGCUAAAUGGUACAAGGACAUGGUAUCUGAUUUCAAGGCGAAGAGAAAAAGGUCCCAUUGGGAGGACCCUUCCGUCAUUCGAUGAUCUGAGACUAAUUCGAGAAACCGCCG